This 253-nucleotide ribosomal RNA is filed under the name uncultured bacterium. RNAcentral's name for it is "partial 16S ribosomal RNA". It matches the Rfam family "Bacterial small subunit ribosomal RNA", at positions 524 to 776 of the family's 1533-position model. The record is from RNAcentral.
GACAGAGGGGGCAAGCGUUGCUCGGAAUUACUGGGCGUAAAGGGCGCGUAGGCGGGAUGGCAAGUCGGUCGUGAAAUCCCUCGGCUCAACCGAGGAACGUCGAUCGAUACUGCUGUUCUUGAGGAUUGCAGAGGAGACUGGAAUUCCCGGUGUAGCGGUGAAAUGCGUAGAUAUCGUAAGGAAGACCAGUGGCGAAGGCGGGUCUCUGGACAGUUCCUGACGCUGAGGCACGAAGGUCAGGGGAGCAAACGGG